This 879-nucleotide ribosomal RNA is filed under the name Triticum aestivum (bread wheat). RNAcentral's name for it is "partial small subunit ribosomal RNA". The record is from RNAcentral. Lineage: Eukaryota; Viridiplantae; Streptophyta; Magnoliopsida; Poales; Poaceae.
AUGGUGGAUUGGCAGCCUGAUUUUCAAGCUCUAGUUGAAAAAAUAUGGGCUACACCUUCCCCUUUUACAUCUGCCAUUGAGACCUGGCAGUUUAAAACUAAGCUUUUUAGGAAACAAGUUAAAGGUUGGAGCAUUAAUAUUGAGGCUGCUAUGAAAAAGAAGAAAAAGGAGCUUCUCCAGGAGUUUGAUAUUUCAGACAUUUUCUCUGAACAAAACAGAAUUAAUAGUGAGGAUAUCCUCAGAAUGAAACAAAUCAAGGAAGAGCUUCAUGAGAUUUGGAGGAAAGAAGAAACUGCCAUGUGGCAGAGAUCUAGGGACAGGAAAAUCAAAGAGGGAGAUAGGAAUACAUCAUACUUCCAUGAUGUGGCUAAUCAAAGAAGGAGGAAGAAUCAGCUGUCCAUCUUAGAAGGCCCUGAUGGACCUGUAUACUCUACCAAAGAUAUGCUGGAAGUGGCAACUAACUUCUAUAAAAACCUUUUUGGGUUUGAACCUAAACCUAACAUUCACCUGGAUGAUCAUUUUUGGUUUGAAGAGGAACGAGUGACUAUAGCUGAGAAUGAGAUAUUAGAAAGGCCUUUUUCAGAAGAAGAAAUUAAGGAAGCUAUUAUGGGCUCAUAUGCCAAUGGAGCCCCUGGGCCUGAUGGUUUAUCCUUUAUUUUUUACCAACAUUUUUGGGAUAUUAUUAAAGGAGACUUUAUGGCUCUUGUGAGGGAUUUUGAGAGUGGGUCUCUGGAUAUCCAGAGGUUAAAUUACUCUAUAGUCACUCUCAUUCCUAAAGAACCAGAUGCUAAGAAUAUGAAAAAAUUUCGGCCUAUUUGUUUAAGCAACUGCUCUGUGAAGAUUUUCAGCAAAGCCAUGACAAAUAGGUUUCCCCUAUAG